GGCGGGGCCUGGCCUGGCCGGGGGUACACUUGUGGAAUGUCACAUAGAGGAGAGAGGGGUCCAGAUGCUCUGUGCUUCUCAGAUCGGGACCUUCAAAUGUUAAUGGAAGAGGUCCAGAGGAGGAGAUCCCUCCUGUACCCUGCUGGCUAUCGAAAUCCACCUGCCACAGCCAAGAAAGCCUGGGUACAAAUUGUGAUUGGGGCGAAAGCAGCAGGACAGCAUGCACUUCCCUGGAUUCAGUGCAGGAAAAGGUUCUGAUCUGUUGCGUUCUGGCAAGAUAUGGUCCGGACUGGGGCUGGGUCAGCCUGGCUCAAAACAAUUCGCUCAGUUGAACAGAUGGCCAUGGAGAUUUCAAGAGUGCCUUAACAGCUGUCUGGUGGAAUAAAUAAGUAGCAGGUGAUUGAAAUCACCUUGGAGCAUAGUGGUAAUGGUGGAGACCCUGCUGUUGCCUCACUGAGCAGAAAGGAAUGUGAUAUGAGAAGGAGUGCAACAAUGGCGUUGCGUCAUAAUGGCAGUGUGAGCAUGAUUAAAGGCAGUGGCAUGCAUCAGCGUGCUUUCACGAUGUGAAGGGCUAUACCUAAAUAUCUCAUUCUGUGUUUCAUGCAGGUUCCAGCUCUGCUCACUAACAAC
This is a long non-coding RNA of Carcharodon carcharias (great white shark), 630 nucleotides long. RefSeq lists it as uncharacterized. Lineage: Eukaryota; Metazoa; Chordata; Chondrichthyes; Lamniformes; Lamnidae. The transcript is spliced from 3 exons. The record is from RefSeq and is a predicted model, not a curated record.